UGGACCCUACGGGGGGCAGCAGUGGGGAAUAUUGCGCAAUGGGGGCAACCCUGACGCAGCAACGCCGCGUGCAGGAAGAAGGUCUUCGGAUUGUAAUCUGUUGUCGCAGGGGAAGAAGACAGUGACGGUACCCUGUGAGAAAGUCACGGCUAACUACGUGCCAGCAGCCGCGGUAAUACGUAGGUGACAAGCGUUAUCCGGAUUUACUGGGUGUAAAGGGAGCGUAGACGGUUCUGCAAGUCUGAAGUGAAAGCCCGUGGCUUAACCGCGGAACGGCUUUGGAAACUGUGGAACUGGAGUGCUGG
This 305-nucleotide ribosomal RNA is filed under the name uncultured bacterium. RNAcentral describes it as "bacterial SSU rRNA". It matches the Rfam family "Bacterial small subunit ribosomal RNA", at positions 332 to 652 of the family's 1533-position model. The record is from RNAcentral.